GACGAACGCUGGCGGCGUGCUUAACACAUGCAAGUCGAACGGAAAGGCCCUGCUUUUGUGGGGUGCUCGAGUGGCGAACGGGUGAGUAACACGUGAGUAACCUGCCCUUGACUUUGGGAUAACUUCAGGAAACUGGGGCUAAUACCGGAUAGGAGCUCCUGCUGCAUGGUGGGGGUUGGAAAGUUUCGGCGGUUGGGGAUGGACUCGCGGCUUAUCAGCUUGUUGGUGGGGUAGUGGCUUACCAAGGCUUUGACGGGUAGCCGGCCUGAGAGGGCGACCGGCCACAUUGGAACUGAGAUACGGCCCAGACUCCUACGGGAGGCAGCAGUGGGGAAUAUUGCACAAUGGGCGGAAGCCUGAUGCAGCAACGCCGCGUGCGGGAUGACGGCCUUCGGGUUGUAAACCGCUUUCGCCUGUGACGAAGCGUGAGUGACGGUAAUGGGUAAAGAAGCACCGGCUAACUACGUG
Molecule: ribosomal RNA, 468 nt
Filed under: uncultured bacterium
Lineage: Bacteria
Description: partial 16S ribosomal RNA
Rfam family: Bacterial small subunit ribosomal RNA
Source: RNAcentral